CGCAUCUGUGCAUGCAGCAUAUCAAUAAGCGGAGGAAAAGAAACUAACAAGGAUUCCCCUAGUAACGGCGAGUGAAGCGGGAAGAGCUCAAAUUUGAAAUCUUAAAGGGUUUCCCUUUACGAAUUGUAGUUUAAAGAAGUGUUUUCUGUUGAGGUUUUGGUAAAAGUUCUUUGGAAUAGGACAUCAUAGAGGGUGAGAAUCCCGUAUUUGACCUUUACUUUCAACUUUGUGAUACACUUUCAAAGAGUCGGAUUGUUUGGGAAUGCAGUCCAAAAUGGGUGGUAAAUUUCAUCUAAAGCUAAAUAUUGGCGAGAGACCGAUAGCGAACAAGUACCGUGAGGGAAAGAUGAAAAGAACUUUGAAAAGAGAGUUAAACAGUACGUGAAAUUGUCAAAAGGGAAGCGUUUGACACCAGUGCUGUUUUUCUGAAAAUCAAUUAAAGAGCUGUUUAUGCUAAGCUGUUUAGACUUUAUCAGCUAUCUGUUUAGUUUUGAGCUUUUCUUUAAUGCACUUUUCAGUUAACAAGUCAACAUCAAUUUCUUUUGCUGUAAAAAAGCUUGAGGAAGGUGGCUUGAGAUUCGUCUUAAGUGUUUAUAGCCUCUUGCCUAUGCAGUCGGAGAGAUUGAGGUCUGCAGCGUAGAUCCUUCGGGGCUAAAUGCAUUUGUGCUAAGUUAUAGCAUUUUAUAGACAACUUGUUGACUAUGAUUUGUCUUGUAGCUUACUCGCUUAUGUUAUUUUACCUACGCUUAGGAUGUUGAGUCAUCACACAUCUCUA
Molecule: ribosomal RNA, 775 nt
Filed under: uncultured Neocallimastigales
Lineage: Eukaryota; Fungi; Neocallimastigomycota; Neocallimastigomycetes; Neocallimastigales
Description: partial large subunit ribosomal RNA
Rfam family: Eukaryotic large subunit ribosomal RNA
Source: RNAcentral